Molecule: RNA transcript, 3426 nt
Organism: Arvicanthis niloticus (Nile rat)
Lineage: Eukaryota; Metazoa; Chordata; Mammalia; Rodentia; Muridae
Gene: Cchcr1
Gene name: coiled-coil alpha-helical rod protein 1
Source: RefSeq, a predicted model, not a curated record
AGUUGGGGGUGGAAAGAGUCUGAGAGGGGGUUCAAGGGCGGGUGGAGGGGGUCCACAGGGCAAGAGGGGUGCAGGAGCUGGGUCAAAGGACAGAUAAGGAGGUCAAGACAGCCUCAGAGUUCAGGGUCCUAACCGGGAUGAGCCAGAGUUGUGUGCGGGAGAGGAGAGGGGGAGACAGGACAGGGAGCGACCAAGAUAAUUCCAUCGAAAAAGACGCAGACUAGGACUAGGAAGAGAAGCUGGUAGGAAUCUCGGGGGUUGAGUAGAAAAAAAAAUUUUUUUUGAAUUCUGAUGGAAGUGGGGGAAAGAAGAUGCUGUAGGACUCCGAAGAGAGGUGCAUCGGGAAUGGAAGCCGAGGGGAGAGAGAGCGAUUGAGCCCGGUUACAGAGAGGCACAGAUGAGUUGGCAGGAAGCUGGCUUCCCAGCAACGGGCUCCAGGCUGCGCGGAUUCCUCAGGGAUCCUAAGGAAGCCACUUAACCCCACAUGUGGCCUUAUUCUUCUGGGGCCAGGCCUUGGGCUAACUCUUUAAUAGGAAAUGACCCAGAAAUCAUGGCUCGAUGGUGCCUAGAUGGGCUUUCCAACGGCCCUACCAUUCCAUGGCGAGGACUGUGGAGAUUGGGCUCCCUAUACUAUGUACACAGAGUCCUGAGCUGCAGGGAUCGUAGACACAUAAGGAGGAAGGGGAACAUAGGUGAUUGGAGACAAGAUCUAGAGGAUUCAUAUAACAGGGAGAUGUUGCCACCAUCAGGUUUUGCUGGGCUGGUUCCUCCCUCCCACUUCCAAGCUCGGCCCCUUCCAACUCUUCCAAGAAUGGGCCCAUCCUGGGCUUCAGACGUUCCUUUGGUCCAAUCUGCAGCCAGCCAAGAUGUCUUAGAGAGACGGCUAGAUGCUCAGAGGACAGUGACCAUGUGGGGACAGGAUUUCUGUGGAGAAGGGCAGGGGCUAGGGCGGAGAGGCAGGUCUCUGGAGCUGGGGGUCUCUGGUGCCCUGAGCCAGCAGGCUGAGCUGAUCUCUCGACAGCUCCAAGAGUUGCGGCGGCUGGAGGAGGAAGUCCGGUCCCUACGGGAGACCUCCCUGCAGCAGAAGAUGAGGUUAGAGACUCAGGCCAUGGAGCUGGAUGCCCUUGCAGUGGCCGAGAAGGCCGGGCAAGCUGAGGCUGAGGGCCUGCGCACAGCCUUGGCCGGAGCCGAAAUGGUUCGGAAGAACCUGGAAGAGGCAAAGCAGAGGGAGUUGGAGGAGAUUCAGAGUCUGCACCAAGAGCAGCUGUCCUCCCUGACGCAGGCUCACCAGAAGGCUCUCGACAGUCUGACCAGCAAGGCCGAGAGCUUGGAGAAGUCUCUCAACAGCCUGGAAAUGAAACGGGCAGGGGAAGCCAAGCAGCUGGCUAUGGCCCAGAAGGAGGCUGACCUGCUUAGGAGCCAACUGAGUAAGACCCAAGAAGAGCUGGAAGCUCAGGUGACCUUGGUCGAAAGUCUGAGGAAGUAUGUGGGGGAGCAAGCCCCUCCUGAGGCUCCUAGCCAGGCGUGGGAGCUGGAACGGAAGAAGCUUCUAGACACCUUGAAGCACUUGAAGGAGGACCGGGCUGACCUUCAGGCCACUGUGGAGCUACUGCAGGUACGAGUACAGAGCCUCACACACAUGCUCGCCCUGCAGGAAGAGGAGCUGACCCGGAAGAUCCAGCCUUUAGAUCCCUUGGAGCCCGAGUUUCCGAAGAAGUGCCGCUCGCUGCUGCGCGGCUGGCGGGAGAAGGUGUUUGCCCUCAUGGUGCAGCUCAAAGCCCAGGACCUGCAGCACAGGGAGUCCACGACGAGGCUGAGGGAACAGGUGGCACAGCUGCAGGAACAAGCGACCGCCCAAAGCCAGGAGCAGGCCAUCUUGCAGCGUGCCCUGCAAGACAAAACUGCACAGGUGGAGGUGGAGCUGAUGAGCAUCAAGACCCUGCAGAUGGAGCUGAAUCAGGCUCAGGAGGCCAGGCGGAGGCAGGAACAGCAGACAGCCUCCGCUGAGGAGCAGCUGAAGUUUGUGGUCAGCGCUAUGAACAGCACUCAGGCCAAACUCCAGAGCACCAUGACCAGGGUGGAUCAGGCCGUAGCCCGGAUUCCCAGCCUCAGCAACCGGCUCAGCUAUGCUGUCCGUAAGGUCCACACCAUUAAGGGUCUGAUGGCUCGAAAGGUGGCUCUUGCUCAGCUGCGCCUGGAGAGAUGUCCUCCGUCCGAACCUGCACCCCCACUGGAUACAUACCUGAGCCUUGAGCUGGAGCAGCUUCGGGAAGAGCGGAACCGCCUGGACGCAGAGCUGCAGCUGAGCGCCCACCUCAUCCAGCAGGAGGUGGGCCGGGCACGGGAACAAGGGGAGGCAGAGCGCCGGCAGCUGACUGAGGUGGCCCAGCAGCUGGAGCAGGAGCUGCAGCGCGCCCAGGAAUCCCUGGCCAGCGUUGGGCAGCAGUUGGAGGCAGCCCGUCAGAGCCAGCAGGAGAGCACAGAGGAAGCUGCCAGCCUCCGGCAGGAGCUGACCCAGCAGCAGGAGAUCUACGGGCAAGCUCUGCAAGAGAAGGUGGCCGAGGUGGAAACCCGGCUUCGGGAGCAGCUCUCAGACACAAAGAGGAGGCUGAACGAUGCCCGGAGGGAGCAGGCCAAGGCCGAUCCAGCACAAAGCCACUCGGGAAAAGGAGCGCAACCAGGAGCUCAGGCGGCUGCAGGAGGAGGCCCGGAAGGAAGAGGGACAGCGGCUGGCCCGGCGAGUGCAGGAGCUAGAGCGGGACAAGAACCUCAUGCUGGCCACCUUGAAGCAGGAGGGUCUCCUCUUGCGUUACAAGCAGCAGCGCCUGUUAGCAGUGCUUCCCUCUGAAGUGGGUAAGAAGUGCAGCCCCCGGCCUGUAGAGCCCCCAGCACCUCAGUCUCCUGCAGCUUCACCGCCCAAGGAAUCUAUGAAAGGCUCCCUGACUGUCCUGCUUGAUAACCUGCAAGGCCUGAGCGAGGCCAUUUCCAGAGAUGAAGCUAUUUAUCUGGAAGAUAACCAGAACACCAAGAGCCCUCCAGAUCCACUGCUGAUCCGGAGCUUCCGGGAGGGGGAGUGAAGUCGGCCUGGAGCUGGACCCCCCAGGAGGGUUGGGUGGGAGGACAUGGGGCGGGGGCCAGCCUAGCCCUGCUCCCCAGCAAGUCUUGAGACUCCAGCUUCCACCAAGUUCAAACUCUGCAAUGAAUAAAGAUGGCUAUAGUGGAGUCGUUGCCUGGAGAUGUCUAGGAGACUGGGAUUCUCCCUGAAGCCAGCUCCUGAGGCAGGGCCUGUGAGAAGCUUGUCCCCCUACCCCUGCCCUUCCUCUGGGGGGUAACCUCUUUUCAAACCUCUUUUCUAACUGCUCUGGAAGUGUUCUGAGAAGCUUCCAGGUUGUUUUGUUUUGACUUUUGAGACAUAGCCCUUGGAUG